Sander lucioperca (pikeperch) is the source of this 1193-nucleotide RNA transcript. RefSeq lists it as uncharacterized. The record is from RefSeq and is a predicted model, not a curated record. The transcript has 7 exons. NCBI's taxonomy places the organism in Eukaryota, Metazoa, Chordata, Actinopteri, Perciformes, Percidae.
CCCACUGUUACAGAACACUUUCCCUGGUUGCUUUGAGAAGGCUCUCUUUGGCAGGAUCUCUGACAUUAGUGUUGCUCUCUGGCUGCCUGCUGUCUCGAACCAUGGCUGCACAGCUGGUUGUAGCUCUGCUGGCUCUCACCUCCCUGGGUGCUGCAUCUGAACCGGACUGUAAAGAGCUGGUUAAGCCUCUGGUACUGGACAGCCACAGCCCCAUCUAUGGGAAGUGGGUGCUUCAUGUGGGGUCAUGGGACCAGCCUGGCCUAAAGAACGACCUAUUGACGGUGAACAGCUCCUGGGUGGAUCUGUCGGCUUCCUCAGACAGCGGAGUCAUCACCAUGUACUGGUCUGACCGCAUAAGUAAAGAUAAAUGCCUUCAGGGUCUAGCCAAUGCCACCGUCUCAGGGAUGACCAGUCACACCACUUUUAAUAUCAACGGUCACACUUCAUAUCAUGAUGGGAAGUACUAUGAGACUUGCUCCGACUGCCUCCUGUCCGAAGACACCACCCUCCUCCCUGACGGCAAGUCAAAGGGACGAUACCUUUUCCUCUUUACACGGACCGGCGCUCUGGAGUCAUCUGAGUUAGAGACCUUCAAGAAGCAGGCUGAGUGUCUUAAAUUCCUCCCAGAGUACCACUUUGGAGGAACAGAUCUGUGUCCAGAUGAAAGGGAGCCAGCUGCACCUGCUGCUGAGAACACAGAGAAUGAUGAAAUUGAUGUUCAGCCUACUGCAAAAUAAAGCACAGAUGUAUGUCAUAGCCCUUUGAACAGCGCGCGCACGCACGCACGCACACACACACACACACACAAACGCAUCCAUCUUAACAUUUACUAAAUGGUGUUGUAAUGUGAUCUGCAUGUGCUGUGGAAUACCUUUUCAUUAGCCGUGGUUCAGUUGGUUUUUAGCAGCAGCAAUAAGUUAAAGGCCUGCUGGUGUGAUGUCACGUCAGAACUGUGGCUUGCAAUGUGUAGUCUUAUUACUGUGUGUCUAUGCCUGCUAAACUGUUUGACCUUUCAUGAUUUAGUUUAGGAACUGUGACAUCUGAAAGGCUCAUGGCAUGUUCUGGCAGGUACAGUAAUGGUUGACAAAUCCACUGAAAAGCCUUCUUCAAAUCAAUUUAACAAUCUGUAAAUAGUUGAGCAUAUAACUUUUUUCAAAUGGUUGUGUGAAGUAAAUAAAACAAUUUUCAGUCUC